Molecule: ribosomal RNA, 491 nt
Filed under: uncultured bacterium
Lineage: Bacteria
Description: partial 16S ribosomal RNA
Rfam family: Bacterial small subunit ribosomal RNA
Source: RNAcentral
AGUGAACGCUGGCGGUAGGCCUAACACAUGCAAGUCGAACGGCAGCACAGUAAGAGCUUGCUCUUACGGGUGGCGAGUGGCGGACGGGUGAGGAAUACAUCGGAAUCUACUUUUUCGUGGGGGAUAACGUAGGGAAACUUACGCUAAUACCGCAUACGACCUACGGGUGAAAGCAGGGGAUCUUCGGACCUUGCGCGAUUGAAUGAGCCGAUGUCGGAUUAGCUAGUUGGCGGGGUAAAGGCCCACCAAGGCGACGAUCCGUAGCUGGGCUGAGAGGAUGAUCAGCCACACUGGAACUGAGACACGGUCCAGACUCCUACGGGAGGCAGCAGUGGGGAAUAUUGGACAAUGGGCGCAAGCCUGAUCCAGCCAUACCGCGUGGGUGAAGAAGGCCUUCGGGUUGUAAAGCCCUUUUGUUGGGAAAGAAAAGCAGCAGGUUAAUACCCCGCUGUUCGGACGGUACCCAAAGAAUAAGCACCGGCUAACUUCGU